GAGAGAGUUCAAGAGUACGUGAAACCGUUCAGGGGUAAACGGGAGAGAUCCUGAAUUCCAAAGGGGUCUCGGAUUCAACGACCACCCGGAGCCGGGCGCGGCCCCGCCUGACGGCGUCGGACGCCCGCGGCGAUUAACCUCGCUCGCGGUGUCGUUCUCCGGCGAUCGCACGGCGAGCAGGUCGUGGCAAGUCCCGAGCUUCGGGGGCGUGCACUUCCCCCCUGGAGAAGUGUCGCGACCCGUUGGGUGCCGGUCAGAGGGCCCGGUCAAGGUUGUCCUCGCGCGGCCGCGGCCGAGCGGGGAGCCUCCGGUGUUUUUCCCGGCCGGCUGCCCGACGGUACGACCAGAGGAGCAGAUCCGCUCGGAGAGCGUCCGGCCCGGUAGCGGACGGGCGCGGGGUGCGCGGUUCCGCGGGAGGAACUCGCGCGGGGACACGUGCGUGGCACGGUCUCGCCCCCGCCGUCCCGUCCGACUCCGGAGUCCUCGGACAGGAUCCUGAUCCCGUCGGCGACGCCCUUCUUCGGAUCGUCUC
Molecule: ribosomal RNA, 532 nt
Filed under: Paracalynda utilaensis
Lineage: Eukaryota; Metazoa; Arthropoda; Insecta; Phasmatodea; Diapheromeridae
Description: partial 28S ribosomal RNA
Source: RNAcentral